This 349-nucleotide transfer-messenger RNA is filed under the name Nitrospirae bacterium RBG_13_41_22. It matches the Rfam family "transfer-messenger RNA". From Rfam's summary of the family: Bacterial tmRNA, also known as 10Sa RNA or SsrA, is named for its dual tRNA and mRNA-like properties. Its role is to liberate the mRNA from a stalled ribosome. To accomplish this part of the tmRNA is used as a reading frame that ends in a translation stop signal. The record is from RNAcentral. Lineage: Bacteria; Pseudomonadati; Nitrospirota.
GGGGGCGAAAGGGCUCGACGGGGGUUAUGAGGCUCGGGUUGCAUGUCGUGGUUCCGUCACCACGUAAAAAGGCGGAAACAAACACAAACGCCAAUAACGAACUGGCACUUGCUGCUUAAUUAACUAAGCAGCCGCUGCCCUGAAAUUGCCUGUGUUUCAGGUCACAGCGUCGGUAAGCAGGCUGGCCUCGGGUCUUUCUCCUGAACCUGAGGUAAGAUUAAAGGAGAUGGGAUGAUAAAAAGCCCGCCUGCUGGCGGUUUAUCAUCCGAGAUUUAAAAGGCAGGAUAAGCAUGUAGAAGCCUGAGAGUAGUACUUUCGGACGCGGGUUCAAUUCCCGCCGCCUCCACCA